UACGUAGGGAGCGAGCGUUAUCCGGAUUUAUUGGGUUUAAAGGGUGCGUAGGCGGGCUUUUAAGUCAGCGGUAAAAAUUCGGGGCUCAACCCCGUCCGGCCGUUGAAACUGGGGGCCUUGAGUGGGCGAGAAGAAGGCGGAAUGCGUGGUGUAGCGGUGAAAUGCAUAGAUAUCACGCAGAACCCCGAUUGCGAAGGCAGCCUUCCGGCGCCCUACUGACGCUGAGGCACGAAAGUGCGGGGAUCGAACAGG
Molecule: ribosomal RNA, 252 nt
Filed under: uncultured bacterium
Lineage: Bacteria
Description: partial 16S ribosomal RNA
Rfam family: Bacterial small subunit ribosomal RNA
Source: RNAcentral